Molecule: non-coding RNA, 91 nt
Organism: Myotis davidii
Lineage: Eukaryota; Metazoa; Chordata; Mammalia; Chiroptera; Vespertilionidae
Source: Rfam
AUCGCUUCUCUGCCUUUUGGCUAAGAUCAAGUGUAGUAUUUGUUCUUAUCAGUUUAAUAUAUUAUCUCUAUUUUUUCAAUAUUUAACUUGU